RNAcentral lists this microRNA precursor (83 nucleotides) under Nannospalax galili (Upper Galilee mountains blind mole rat). Its description in RNAcentral is "microRNA 18b (ENSNGAG00000003302.1)". It matches the Rfam family "mir-17 microRNA precursor family". From Rfam's summary of the family: This family represents the microRNA (miRNA) precursor mir-17, family, which includes mir-20, mir-91, and mir-103. miRNAs are transcribed as ~70nt precursors (modelled here) and subsequently processed by the Dicer enzyme to give a ~22nt product. Lineage: Eukaryota; Metazoa; Chordata; Mammalia; Rodentia; Spalacidae. The record is from RNAcentral.
UUUCUUGUGUUAAGGUGCAUCUAGUGCAGUUAGUGAAACAGCUUAGAAUCUACUGCCCUAAAUGCCCCUUCUGCCACAGGCUA